UAAAAACCAAAUGAUGCACAGCAUCUAUAUCAUCUUUGAUAAUACCAAAUAGUCAUAACACCAAACGUAAACAGAAAACCAAAAAAAAAUCCAUAACAAAACCAUGUUUAUAAUAACAUGGCAUUUAUUUAAUUAAAUAUUUUUUAUUAAAACCUACUCAUACUCCUUUUCUUCAUUCUCCUUCUCUUUCCACCCUCCGCUUUUCAACACAGACCUCGGAGACCCACAGCAGCUCCCACCUUCCUUCACAAACUUGAGAUACACAAUCGAUUCUCCACCACCAAUUUCUUCAUAACUUUUUUCUUCCACCCCAUACCCUUCAAUCUCAAUUCCGCUUCCAAUUCCGUUUCCAAUUCCUCCACCAACAGCAAUCGAAAACUCACCAGGCUCAAAACAAUCCAACACCCUUCUCACAAGGCUUUCCAAUCCAAUCUCCUUCAAGUCAUACCCAACAGCCUCAAAGCUCGCGUAACUAAACCCAUCUUCCGGAGUCACAUGAAUAGUUGAAACAGCGGAAUCCUCAAUUCCAUUCAUGGAGUACCCACACGGGUCGAAUUCAAAGUCACAGAUUCCAGAGUUUGGGAGGAUCGAACGGAUACCGGAAUCGUUCGUCAUUGUUUCUGCAGAACUCCACUCGGUUUUGUAAAAGACAGAAGCUUUUUCACGGUCUAGAGUCGUCAUGCACAUCUCGAGCGUGUACAUGUCACCGGAAUCGGAAUCAGCAACACCGGAAUCAGAAUUGGCAAAAGCGGAAUAAACGUACCACUUGUUAGGCUUGUCAAAAGCACCCAUUGCAUAAGCUUUGCUUGAUAACCCGAGUUUCUCAAAAUGGGAAUCGAGAACUGAAACUUCUUCGGUGAAGCUUCUAUGUGGGAAAGAUUGAGCUCCGGGGAAUAUAAAACUGCCACGUGUAUAUCUCACUGAUCGGACAGUGAGAGAGAGUGUCGCCGCUAGCUUCAGAAUAGCUGGAAUCGACAACAAAAGCUUGGUGGUCCCACAUGUUUUGAUUACGAGUUUGUAUGGGAAAAUAAAAAGACUCGAUUCUGAGAGAACGUAAGAGUCAACAUGGUCGUUGGAGAGAGAAGACACGAUUGUGCAUUCAGCUGGGGUUAAAAUUUCAUCGAUUUGGGUCUUUGAGAGGACCCGAAGACCUUGACCAUUCGGGUCGGAAAAGAUGCUGGGCUCGAAGAAUGUUAGUUCGAGUCUUUUUUCGUAACCUUCAAAACCGAUUGCAGAAACUUGUUGCGCCAUUUGAGCAAGAAGAGGAGAAAGAUGAGAGAAGAAGAAAAGGGAAGAGGGUUUUUUUACUAAUUCUAAACUAAUUUGAAAGCAGUAAAAUUAAAAGCACGUCAAGUGACGUGAAGGGGAAAGCGAUUUAGGGAAUAUCAGGAUGGUUUGCGAGCGCACUGUAAAAAGAAAAGAAAAAUAUAAUUAGUAUUGAAUUCAUUGAUAGAGAAAAUGGAAUUGUAAUGGAUGGAAUGGAAUUUGGUAUUGUGCUUACGUUGGAGUAAGCAGCAGAUCUGAAUUUCUUGAUUCCUCCGUUUGGGCGAACGUCUUCAAUGCUGUAUCCUAGGGGAGCUUCAUAAAACGAUUUACUACUACUACUACUACUAGGCUUUUUCCCACCUUUGGUUUCCAU
RNAcentral lists this long non-coding RNA (1639 nucleotides) under Lactuca sativa (garden lettuce). Its description in RNAcentral is "long non-coding RNA (LSAT_LNC008013)". The record is from RNAcentral. Lineage: Eukaryota; Viridiplantae; Streptophyta; Magnoliopsida; Asterales; Asteraceae.